UCCAGGUCUUCGUGGUCAAAGAUAACGGCUCUCAAAGGAAUGUGGGCCAUACAUUGUGAUGCCCACUAUAUUUGAUCUAUAAUUUAAUCAUCAUACAAAUUCUAAAAAUGAUAUCCCCAAAUUGAUCUGAUAUGAGGAGCUGAUCGAAGAUUCUACAGCCAAGAAGUCAGGGAAAUGCUUAGGAGAAUAUUUCGUGAAGUGAAUCAGUUGGAAAAUUAUUGUUUGCCGUUUAUUUGUGGUAUCUGUGGAGUCUACAGAAGUCAUUUGCUUGAGAGACGCUCCCCAUUCCACCCAGGAGAGUGCUUCCCAUGGAUGCCUUCAGUCUGGACUUCAUUUGCUCCAGUUGUCUGAAACAGUCUGG
Molecule: long non-coding RNA, 361 nt
Organism: Arvicola amphibius (Eurasian water vole)
Lineage: Eukaryota; Metazoa; Chordata; Mammalia; Rodentia; Cricetidae
Exons: 3
Source: RefSeq, a predicted model, not a curated record